Molecule: ribosomal RNA, 283 nt
Filed under: uncultured bacterium
Lineage: Bacteria
Description: partial 16S ribosomal RNA
Rfam family: Bacterial small subunit ribosomal RNA
Source: RNAcentral
AUUCCUACGGGAGGCAGCAGUGAGGAAUAUUGGUCAAUGGGAGAGAUCCUGAACCAGCCAAGCCGCGUGAGGGAAGACGGCCCUAUGGGUUGUAAACCUCUUUUGUCGGAGAACAAAACCCGGGACGUGUCCCGGACUGCGUGUAUCCGAAGAAAAAGCAUCGGCUAACUCCGUGCCAGCAGCCGCGGUAAUACGGAGGAUGCGAGCGUUAUCCGGAUUUAUUGGGUUUAAAGGGUGCGCAGGCGGGCUGUUAAGCCGGCGGUUAAAAUUUAGGGCUCAACCC